This 753-nucleotide ribosomal RNA is filed under the name uncultured Comamonadaceae bacterium. RNAcentral's name for it is "bacterial SSU rRNA". It matches the Rfam family "Bacterial small subunit ribosomal RNA", at positions 28 to 776 of the family's 1533-position model. Lineage: Bacteria; Pseudomonadati; Pseudomonadota; Betaproteobacteria; Burkholderiales; Comamonadaceae. The record is from RNAcentral.
AUUGAACGCUGGCGGCAUGCCUUACACAUGCAAGUCGAACGGCAGCACGGGAGCAAUCCUGGUGGCGAGUGGCGAACGGGUGAGUAAUACAUCGGAACGUGCCCAAUCGUGGGGGAUAACGCAGCGAAAGCUGUGCUAAUACCGCAUACGAUCUACGGAUGAAAGCAGGGGAUCGCAAGACCUUGCGCGAAUGGAGCGGCCGAUGGCAGAUUAGGUAGUUGGUGAGGUAAAGGCUCACCAAGCCGUCGAUCUGUAGCUGGUCUGAGAGGACGACCAGCCACACUGGGACUGAGACACGGCCCAGACUCCUACGGGAGGCAGCAGUGGGGAAUUUUGGACAAUGGGCGAAAGCCUGAUCCAGCCAUGCCGCGUGCAGGAUGAAGGCCUUCGGGUUGUAAACUGCUUUUGUACGGAACGAAACGGCCUUUUCUAAUAAAGAGGGCUAAUGACGGUACCGUAAGAAUAAGCACCGGCUAACUACGUGCCAGCAGCCGCGGUAAUACGUAGGGUGCAAGCGUUAAUCGGAAUUACUGGGCGUAAAGCGUGCGCAGGCGGUUAUGUAAGACAGUUGUGAAAUCCCCGGGCUCAACCUGGGAACUGCAUCUGUGACUGCAUAGCUAGAGUACGGUAGAGGGGGGAUGGAAUUCCGCGUGUAGCAGUGAAAUGCGUAGAUAUGCGGAGGAACACCGAUGGCGAAGGCAAUCCCCUGGACCUGUACUGACGCUCAUGCACGAAAGCGUGGGAGCAGACAGG